CAAGUCGAACGCGAAAGUCCCCUUCGGGGGAUGAGUAGAGUGGCGCACGGGUGAGUAACACGUAGGUAAUCUACCUUCGGGUGGGGAAUAACCCAGGGAAACUUGGGCUAACACCGCAUAAUGCAGCGGCACCACAUGGUGACAGUUGUUAAAGCGGGGGAUUUUAGGACCUCGCGCCUGAAGAGGAGCCUGCGGCAGAUUAGCUAGUUGGUAAGGUAACGGCUUACCAAGGCGACGAUCUGUAACCGGCCUGAGAGGGCGGUCGGUCACACUGACACUGACAUACGGGUCAGACUCCUACGGGAGGCAGCAGUCGGGAAUUUUGGGCAAUGGGCGAAAGCCUGACCCAGCAACGCCGCGUGAAGGAUGAAAUCCCUCGGGAUGUAAACUUCGCAAGAUUGGGAAGAAUUAGUAGGGGUUAAUACCCCCUAUGAUGACGGUACCUUUUGUAAGCUCCGGCUAACUCCGUGCCAGCAGCCGCGGUAAUACGGGGGGAGCAAGCGUUGUUCGGAUUUACUGGGCGUAAAGGGCGCGUAGGCGGUCAGCACAAGUCAGUUGUGAAAUCUCCGGGCUUAACUCGGAAAGGUCAACUGAUACUGUGCGACUAGAGUGCAGAAGGGGCAACUGGAAUUCUCGGUGUAGCGGUGAAAUGCGUAGAUNUCGAGAGGAACACCUGCGGCGAAGGCGGGUUGCUGGGCUGACACUGACGCUNAGGCGCGAAAGCCAGGGGAGCGAACGGGAUUANAUACCCCGGUAGUCCUGGCCUUAAACGAUGGAUGCUUGGUGUCUGGAGUUAUAUA
Molecule: ribosomal RNA, 800 nt
Filed under: uncultured Bacillota bacterium
Lineage: Bacteria; Bacillati; Bacillota
Description: bacterial SSU rRNA
Rfam family: Bacterial small subunit ribosomal RNA
Source: RNAcentral